RNAcentral lists this ribosomal RNA (301 nucleotides) under uncultured bacterium. RNAcentral's name for it is "partial 16S ribosomal RNA". It matches the Rfam family "Bacterial small subunit ribosomal RNA", at positions 509 to 807 of the family's 1533-position model. The record is from RNAcentral.
CAGUAGCCACGGGAAUACGUAGGUGGCAAGCGUUGUCCGGAAUUAUUGGGCGUAAAGGGCUCGCAGGCGGUUUCUUAAGUCUGAUGUGAAAGCCCCCGGCUCAACCGGGGAGGGUCAUUGGAAACUGGGAAACUUGAGUGCAGAAGAGGAGAGUGGAAUUCCACGUGUAGCGGUGAAAUGCGUAGAGAUGUGGAGGAACACCAGUGGCGAAGGCGACUCUCUGGUCUGUAACUGACGCUGAGGAGCGAAAGCGUGGGGUGCGAACAGGAUUAGAUACCCGCGUAGUCCCUGUCUCUUAUAC